CUGGCUUGACCAAAAGUAUAAGCUGGA
RNAcentral lists this non-coding RNA (27 nucleotides) under Rattus norvegicus (Norway rat). The record is from RNAcentral. Lineage: Eukaryota; Metazoa; Chordata; Mammalia; Rodentia; Muridae.